Molecule: non-coding RNA, 1596 nt
Organism: Suricata suricatta (meerkat)
Lineage: Eukaryota; Metazoa; Chordata; Mammalia; Carnivora; Herpestidae
Source: the annotation of a RefSeq genome assembly
AUGAAGGCACAAGACAUCGAACUGUCCUUCCUGACCACCCAGUGGAAGCCAGGCCCCCACCAGUGCAGCAGGCCCUCCAGGGGCCAGGCCCUGACCCCAGGGGUCGACACAGGCACCCAGGCCCUGGCACAGUCCCCAACUGACCCUCUCAUCACCCCAGCCCAACCUGUCCCACGGACCCGGUCCCCAGAGUGCAGCAGAAAGGCCGAGGCUGAGCCCGAGGCUCCCAUGGCCCAGCCCCCACCUCUGCAACACACAGCCAUUCCCUCUUGGGAGACUGAGGCACCCCUGCCGACUCUUGGGCCAUCCCUAUCAGAGGAUACCACCCUUGUGCCUGGCACUGCCACGGUCUCAGUGCCUUCCACCAGCAGCACCCAGAUGCGAGCCAGAGAGCCAGAAAGGACGGUGGAUGCCAGUCUCAGAGAGCGUGGCAACCACACAAGCCCUCCUGGCCUCUACCUGCCUUGGCCUCCCCUGCAGGGCGUGUGGCUCCAGGGACAAGCCACCUUUACCUGUCUAAUGUUGGGGACUGACCUGCGGAAGGCCUGCUUGUCCCGGGAGCUGGCCGGGUCUCCCCUGCACGAGGGUGUGGACAACGGGCCACUGACAGAACACGCCAAUGGUUCCCAGAGCUGGACCAGCCACCUGGACCUGCCUGUGUCAUCCUGGGCCUCAGGGGCCAACGUCACCUGCACCCUGAGCUCCCCAGGUGUAUUCUCCCACAUGGUUUCUGCAGCUCCCAGGGAACAUGCUGCCUCUGCGCCCAGCAGCCUCACCGUCCAUGUCCUGACUGUGUCCAGAGCGGCCUCCUGGCUCCCGUGCAAGGCGUCUGGCGUCUCGCCCCUGGACAUCCUCCUCACCUGGCUGAAGGACCAGGUCCAAGUGGACCCUGAUUUGUUUGCCACCGUGUCCCCCAUGGCUGAGCCUGGGAACGGCACCUUCAAGACUUGGAGUGUCCUGUGUGUCCACAUGACCCAGGCCCCUAGCCUGGACACCUACACAUGUGUGGUUUGGCAUGAGGCCUCCCAGAGGUUGCUCAGCGCCAGCUGGAGCCCGGACACGGCCAGUCUGGCCAUGACUGCCCCAGUGCCCCAGAGCCACAGCGAGAGCACUGGCAACUCCGUGGACCUGGAAGACACCGGCAGACUGUGGCCCAUGUUUGGGGCCCUCUUCCUUCUCACUCUGCUCUACAAUGGCUUCGUCCCCUUCAUCAAAAGCUCAGCCGCCAAUCCCAGCCCACGCUUUCCUGAGCCAGCAGCCCUGACUGUGGCCCCCUUGCCUUUCUGCCUGCCAGCUGGCCCCAUAAACAACCUUGCUCACAUCCCUGCCUCUUGUCUCCCUGCCUCGCUCAGCUCUGAGGCUCCACAGCUGCAGGCAGGCGUCCGAGAGAGUCCCGACCGGGAUGGGGUGCAGCAGCAGCAGCCGUCCCGGGAGAAUGGGGGAGGGCCGGGCACCAAGCCCCUGAACAUGGCCCUGACUCAGGGCUGUGCAGGCCGGCAGCGGUUUCCUAGAACAGAGCAGAAAGCCGAGGGCUCCCCGUGCAUCAAGAUGGGCUGCCUCACUUUCCCAGGCCCCCAGACCCCCGGGUACCCCUGA